CCGUAGGGUAACCUGCGGAGGGAUCAUUACCGAGUUUUCAACUCCCAAACCCACUGUGAACAUAUACCUUUGUUUUCGUUGCCUCGGCGGUUCGCGCCGCCGGGUGACACCCAAACUCUGAUUUGAUAUAGCAAGUCUUUCUGAGUAAAACAUUCUAAAUGAAUCAAAACUUUCAACAACGGAUCUCUUGGUUCUGGCAUCGAUGAAGAACGCAGCGAAAUGCGAUAAGUAAUGUGAAUUGCAGAAUUCAGUGAAUCAUCGAAUCUUUGAACGCACAUUGCGCCCGCCAGUAUUCUGGCGGGCAUGCCUGUUCGAGCGUCAUUUCAACCCUCAAGACCCCUUCGGGGGACUUGGUGUUGGGGACCGGCACAGGGCCUGCUUGCUUGUCUCGCAGCGCCUCGCCGCCUCCGAAAUGAAUUGGCGGCCUCGUCGCGGCCUCCUCUGCGUAGUAGCACAACCUCGCAACGGGAGCGUGACGCGGCCACUGCCGUAAAACAACCCAAUUUUAUUAGAGUUGACCUCGAAUCAGGUAGGAAUACCCGCUGAACUUAAGCAUAUCAAAGCGGGGGGAAGAAGAGCGGGGUUGGGAAAAAACAUUUUUUGUUUAUUUUAUGCCGGGUUG
This 622-nucleotide ribosomal RNA is filed under the name Marquandomyces marquandii. RNAcentral describes it as "eukaryotic LSU rRNA". The stretch from base 168 to 321 matches the Rfam family "5.8S ribosomal RNA". Lineage: Eukaryota; Fungi; Ascomycota; Sordariomycetes; Hypocreales; Clavicipitaceae. The record is from RNAcentral.